AUACAAGAGAUGUUAUUGUUAUAAAGCUUUUCCUAUCUUUUUCAGGCAGAAUCAUAAUUCUCUACCAGCUGCUUAUUUUAGAGUCAUCUGGGUCUGGGGAUGGUUCUGGACAAAAAUACAAAUUUGGAGACCCUUCAGUCGUUUGUAGGAUCAGUGAGAUCAUGAAAACUAGAAGUAAUUUCAACGCGACUUUUUUUAUUUACUUUGGAAAUGGUUCAGUUGGACACAUGAGUGAUAAGAUGAGAGGUGGACAUUUCAAGUUCAAUUGUGUUUGAUGACUCAUUAGGUUAAAGAAGCUGUCAGGUGGUAAAGUCACCCCAGAGAAAUGAAGGGUAUUCUCCAGGAAGUGUGGAAACCCUGCCACUGCAGGCUAAUCAGGUGUGUUGACACAUCAGUGAGGAGCUGGCUCACAACACCUGGAGAAGCAAGCCACGGAGGUGGAGCAGAAUCAAAUGAGCCUCCCACAAGGCACGAAGAUUCUCAGCAAGUCAGGACGUGUUACACAUGGAAAUUCCUACUCACCCAAAACAGAUGCCUAUUGCUGUGUCUCUCACUUCCCAUACUUUCACAUUGUCUUGAAAUAUAAGCAAGAUGUGAAAGCCUACAGUGCUAUGGUAGGAGCCAUCUGCAGUGCCAUGGUCACCUGUGUCAGUGGUGGAACAAAGAGGGAAAGAUGGCUUCCACAUCCAGUGGUGACUUGAGUGGAAAAAGAAAAAAAAGAGCUCCUACGCCUGCUGGCAGAUGCUACUGAUGGGACUAUGAGCAGUUAGAGGAGGUUUCACAUUUACUCACAACUUGGAAUUUCUAAGCAAAUUUUCACAAUGCAAGGCAGCUGUACAUUCUGUGUACCUAACACUUUGUGUUUUCUCUUCUUGCUUGAUCAUUCAGGAAGCAGGUGGUCCAUUCUUUUGGCUCUAAAUAUUUUGCAUGUGAAGGGCAUAGGUAGGUGCACCACUUUGGAGAUUGUUAGCUGUGUCUGGUUCCGGGUGUCAGUUAGGCACAAAUUAGUAAGGCUGGAGGGGUUAAGAGUUGCAGAGAAGUCUGACAUGAUGGAUAAGUUAAGGAAGAGUCCUAAGAGGCCAGAAGUGAUAGAGCCCUAAAAACCAGAAUGGGCUGGUCAUGGCAUGGCAGAAGCUGACUUAUUUUUAUCUCAUACAGAAUGGGUGUCUACUAGUUCAGUCUGUGCUUAUUUAUUAACAAAAUUAUUCACAGCAAUUCUCAGAGUCCUUCAUCAAAUUCAGUCUGCUCUUGAAUAUUCAGAAGACAUUCUUUCUGAAUAGUGCACAAUAACUUUCAUUCUUUUUUUUCCGAGAGGCUCCAAUGUGUCCACGCUUCUUUUUUUCCCCUUAUUUUAGCUUAAUAUAGGGUUUUCUCAGAUUUUUUUCCUAUAAUAGUUUACUAUUUUCCUAAAUCUUUCCAUUUUGUCACCAAAUUCAACUAUUUCUCACCUCAUUCAUCUUACAGGUUGUUAAUAAAUAUACCAGAGAAUAAUUGUCCUGCUAUUGAUGGAUCCCAAGGGAGAAUUCCUAUUAAUCACUUCAAUCUUAGGGCAAUGCAGAGCCAAUGAAGGACUUGAGCAGAGCAGAGACCAAUGAGUACUGAAUUUUGGAGAGAGCAUCCAGGCCACUGGGUAAAGUGUGCAUUGGGAAGAAGAGCUAAAGGAAGCAAGGAGACUAGCAAGAGAGUUCAGGAGCACAAAGGAAAGGCCAUGCAAGGACACAGGGAGAAGACAGCCCCCUACCAGUCAGGAAGGGAGCCCUCACCAGAAACUGAGCUGGCCAGCACAGUGGUCUUGGACUUGUAGCUCCAGAACUGUGAGGAAAUAAAUUUCUGUUG
This is a long non-coding RNA of Gorilla gorilla gorilla (western lowland gorilla), 1836 nucleotides long. RefSeq lists it as uncharacterized. The transcript has 6 exons. The record is from RefSeq and is a predicted model, not a curated record. NCBI's taxonomy places the organism in Eukaryota, Metazoa, Chordata, Mammalia, Primates, Hominidae.